GACGAACCGUGCGAACGUUGUUCGGAAUCACUGGGCUUAAAGGGCGCGUAGGCGGGCUGUCGCGUCUGGGGUGAAAUCCUCCGGCUCAACCGGGGAAGGGCCUCGGGUACGGACGGCCUCGAGGGGGGUAGGGGCGUGCGGAACUGUGGGUGGAGCGGUGAAAUGCGUUGAUAUCCACAGGAACUCCGGUGGCGAAGGCGGCACGCUGGACCCUCACUGACGCUGAGGCGCGAAAGCCAGGGGAGCGAACGGG
This 253-nucleotide ribosomal RNA is filed under the name uncultured bacterium. Its description in RNAcentral is "partial 16S ribosomal RNA". It matches the Rfam family "Bacterial small subunit ribosomal RNA", at positions 524 to 776 of the family's 1533-position model. The record is from RNAcentral.